RNAcentral lists this ribosomal RNA (446 nucleotides) under uncultured bacterium. RNAcentral describes it as "partial 16S ribosomal RNA". It matches the Rfam family "Bacterial small subunit ribosomal RNA", at positions 338 to 795 of the family's 1533-position model. The record is from RNAcentral.
CCUACGGGUGGCUGCAGUUUCGAAUCAUUCACAAUGGGCGAAAGCCUGAUGGUGCGACGCCGCGUGAGGGAUGAAGGUCUUCGGAUUGUAAACCUCUGUCACCGGGGAAGAAACGCUUCAAGUUAAUAGUUUGAAGCCUGACUUAACCCGGAGAGGAAGCAGUGGCUAACUCUGUGCCAGCAGCCGCGGUAAUACAGAGACUGCAUGCGUUUUACGGGUGCACUGGGCGCCAAGGGUGCGAAGUGUGAAAGCCCGGAGCUUAACUCCGGAAUUGCUCCUCAAACUACAUGGCUAGAGCAUUGGAGAGGGUAGCAGAAUUCACGGUGUAGCAGUGAAAUGCGUAGAUAUCGUGAGGAAUACCAGAGGCGAAGGCGGCUACCUGGACAAUUGCUGACGCUCAGGCACGAAAGCGUGGGGAGCAAAAGGGAUUAGAUACCCGUGUAGUC